This 425-nucleotide ribosomal RNA is filed under the name uncultured bacterium. RNAcentral describes it as "bacterial SSU rRNA". It matches the Rfam family "Bacterial small subunit ribosomal RNA", at positions 32 to 446 of the family's 1533-position model. The record is from RNAcentral.
AAUCAACGCUGGCGGCGUGCCUCAGACAUGCAAGUCGAACGAUUAAACUUUCCUUCGGGGAAGAUAUAGAGUGGCGCACGGGUGAGUAACACGUAAGUAAUCUACCCUUGGGUGGGGAAUAACAUCGGGAAACCGAUGCUAAUACCGCAUAAUGCAGCGGCUUCUUAUGAAGACAGUUGUUAAAGCAUUUAUGUGCCUGAGGAGGAGCUUGCGGCAGAUUAGCUAGUUGGUAAGGUAAUGGCUUACCAAGGCGACGAUCUGUAGCCGACCUGAGAGGGUGGUCGGUCACACUGACACUGAAUAACGGGUCAGUCUCCUACGGGAGGCAGCAGUCGGGAAGUUUUGGGCAAUGGGCGCAAGCCUGACCCAGCAACGCCGCGUGAAGGAUGAAGUAUUUCGGUACGUAAACUUACGUAAAAUAGGAA